RNAcentral lists this ribosomal RNA (1297 nucleotides) under Microbacterium sp. RNAcentral's name for it is "bacterial SSU rRNA". It matches the Rfam family "Bacterial small subunit ribosomal RNA", at positions 48 to 1356 of the family's 1533-position model. The record is from RNAcentral. Lineage: Bacteria; Bacillati; Actinomycetota; Actinomycetes; Micrococcales; Microbacteriaceae.
CUUACCAUGCAAGUCGAACGGUGAACACGGAGCUUGCUCUGUGGGAUCAGUGGCGAACGGGUGAGUAACACGUGAGCAACCUGCCCCUGACUCUGGGAUAAGCGCUGGAAACGGCGUCUAAUACUGGAUAUGUGACGUGACCGCAUGGUCUGCGUCUGGAAAGAAUUUCGGUUGGGGAUGGGCUCGCGGCCUAUCAGCUUGUUGGUGAGGUAAUGGCUCACCAAGGCGUCGACGGGUAGCCGGCCUGAGAGGGUGACCGGCCACACUGGGACUGAGACACGGCCCAGACUCCUACGGGAGGCAGCAGUGGGGAAUAUUGCACAAUGGGCGCAAGCCUGAUGCAGCAACGCCGCGUGAGGGACGACGGCCUUCGGGUUGUAAACCUCUUUUAGCAGGGAAGAAGCGAAAGUGACGGUACCUGCAGAAAAAGCGCCGGCUAACUACGUGCCAGCAGCCGCGGUAAUACGUAGGGCGCAAGCGUUAUCCGGAAUUAUUGGGCGUAAAGAGCUCGUAGGCGGUUUGUCGCGUCUGCUGUGAAAUCCGGAGGCUCAACCUCCGGCCUGCAGUGGGUACGGGCAGACUAGAGUGCGGUAGGGGAGAUUGGAAUUCCUGGUGUAGCGGUGGAAUGCGCAGAUAUCAGGAGGAACACCGAUGGCGAAGGCAGAUCUCUGGGCCGUAACUGACGCUGAGGAGCGAAAGGGUGGGGAGCAAACAGGCUUAGAUACCCUGGUAGUCCACCCCGUAAACGUUGGGAACUAGUUGUGGGGUCCAUUCCACGGAUUCCGUGACGCAGCUAACGCAUUAAGUUCCCCGCCUGGGGAGUACGGCCGCAAGGCUAAAACUCAAAGGAAUUGACGGGGACCCGCACAAGCGGCGGAGCAUGCGGAUUAAUUCGAUGCAACGCGAAGAACCUUACCAAGGCUUGACAUAUACGAGAACGGGCCAGAAAUGGUCAACUCUUUGGACACUCGUAAACAGGUGGUGCAUGGUUGUCGUCAGCUCGUGUCGUGAGAUGUUGGGUUAAGUCCCGCAACGAGCGCAACCCUCGUUCUAUGUUGCCAGCACGUAAUGGUGGGAACUCAUGGGAUACUGCCGGGGUCAACUCGGAGGAAGGUGGGGAUGACGUCAAAUCAUCAUGCCCCUUAUGUCUUGGGCUUCACGCAUGCUACAAUGGCCGGUACAAAGGGCUGCAAUACCGCGAGGUGGAGCGAAUCCCAAAAAGCCGGUCCCAGUUCGGAUUGAGGUCUGCAACUCGACCUCAUGAAGUCGGAGUCGCUAGUAAUCGCAGAUCAGCAAC